Molecule: ribosomal RNA, 377 nt
Filed under: uncultured eukaryote
Lineage: Eukaryota
Description: partial 18S ribosomal RNA
Rfam family: Eukaryotic small subunit ribosomal RNA
Source: RNAcentral
CAAUAGCGUAUAUUAAAGUUGUUGCAGUUAAAAAGCUCGUAGUUGGAUUUCGGGGUGGCCUGCCUGGUCCACCGCAAGGUGAGUACUGGUCAGCCGCCCUUCCUCUCGAAAGCCCCGACUGCUCUUCAUUGCAGUGGUCGGGUAGUUCGGGACGUUUACUUUGAAAAAAUUAGAGUGUUCAAGGCAGGCUAUCGCCUGAAUACAUUAGCAUGGAAUAAUGGAAGAGGACCUCGGUCCUAUUUUGUUGGUUUCUAGGGCCGAAGUAAUGAUUAAGAGGGACAGUUGGGGGCAUUCGUAUUUAAUUGUCAGAGGUGAAAUUCCUGGAUUUAUGAAAGACGAACUAGUGCGAAAGCAUUUGCCAAGGAUGUUUUCAUUAA